UUUAUUACUCCCACCUACUCCUACACCCACCUACUCCAUCAGCCACCAUAUGCCACAACUUUAUAGCUUUUUGUUGAGACACCUCAUUCACCACCAUACCUUUCAAUCAUACCAUUCUCUGCAAAGACACCUCAUUCAUCACCAUACCUUUCUCUACAAAGUCAUUUCACUUCAAUAAAGGAUCUAUCUUUUCCCUCACUUAGCAUUUUCGAUCAAUCUCAUUUCUCCCUCAAGUUACUCUCUAGUUCCAACAAACCCAAAGAAAUCCAAGUGCAGAGCUCAGCCAUAUUGCGAAUGGAUCAAAUUGCCACAAAACUCAGAUUUCAGCAACUCAAACCAGAGGUUGAGCAGUUGAUGGAAUGGAAUGAUGUUGAGCGGGUGUUCCUUUGACAUUUCAAGAAAUGUAACCUUGAGUAUACAUCUUCAUAUGUAUAUCUCACACGUUUUCCGCUGCAAAACACUUUGAUUAGGAUAGCUCUAUGUUAUGAAGUUGUUAUACGUGUUAUUGGGUAACCCACCUUAAUCAGUUCUCAUUUAUGUGUAUAUUUUAUAAGUAUCCAAAUAAUCAUAUAUGAUCCUAGCAUUUUAUCUAUGAGUGACAUUUCCAUA
Molecule: long non-coding RNA, 609 nt
Organism: Salvia miltiorrhiza (redroot sage)
Lineage: Eukaryota; Viridiplantae; Streptophyta; Magnoliopsida; Lamiales; Lamiaceae
Exons: 2
Source: RefSeq, a predicted model, not a curated record